UGGGUUUGACAUAUGCCGGACCGUCCUGGAAACAGGGCUUUCCUCUUUUGAGGACCGGUAUAC
RNAcentral lists this ribosomal RNA (63 nucleotides) under uncultured bacterium. RNAcentral describes it as "partial 16S ribosomal RNA". The record is from RNAcentral.